Molecule: non-coding RNA, 2733 nt
Organism: Amborella trichopoda
Lineage: Eukaryota; Viridiplantae; Streptophyta; Magnoliopsida; Amborellales; Amborellaceae
Source: RefSeq, a predicted model, not a curated record
ACAAUUGGAAAUUGACGGACUAGAUAAUGCAUUAAAAGAUGAACUAUUUCCCAUACUUGAAAUCCAUUUUUCUUCACAGCUACACAUUUCGAGGUUGAGUUGAUCGGUCUGGGGCUUUUUUGACAUUGAAACAAGCUCUUCUAGUGAAUUUUCGAAGGUGCGCCUUAAUUUGGUUGUUUAUGGCCUAAACCUUUUAUAGAAUUUUAUACAUAUUUUAAUGAAUUGUGUUUUCUGUUUGAAGUCUGGCUUAUGCUAACAUUCACCGUUCCGUUUAGUAGUACUUCAAUAAGGCUCCAGUCAUGUUUCAAGAGCUUCAUGUCUUUCUUUGUUGAUUCAAGGCCUAUCACAAAUGUUUUUAGCAUUUUUGCUAGAGCAGUGGAGGGUUCUCCCGAUGCUUCAGGAAAAUCAUUGCUAGCAAGCAAUAGUUCCCUUCUGAUCUGAUUCUUCAGGAUGAGCAGAACCCCAUCUGAUUUUGAGUGUAGGGUUGUGGCUCUUCAUCACCUCAUAUGGUUGGGAGGUGGUUUGCCUUGCCCCUUGGAAAACCCUUGAAUAGGAUUUAUUGGAGUCCCUUUGGGUUAAGUGUCUGCAAAAUUUUGGGAAUAUUUUCAUAAUCAUUGCUCACGAUGAUAUAAACUUUUCUGAGUUCACAUGUUUCUAAAUAUUAGAUGUGAAUGUCACGCCUGUAUUCAAGCAUAUUUGGUUCCCAGGGUCUUUUUGUGGAUUUGCGGACCUGCAUAUGAGGCUCUUUGGCUAAAGCACCUGAAUUAUGUGGUGCUUUUGUUGGUCAUAGACUUUGAAGGCUAUUUUUAUGCAUGAUGCAUCAGGAUAAGCUAGGAAUCAACCUUGACUUUAUCAUGCAUGCAUUUGAAGUAGUUAAUUUGGCUCAGUGUUUGCAAUCUCGGCCGGUCCAACUCGUCGGGCACUGGCCGAUCCGGUUUUGGCCAGGUUUAUUUAUUUAUUUUUAUUUUUAUUUUUUAGCACUUCUUUGACAGUCGGGAUCUGCCCGGUUAGGUUGGUUGAACCGGCCGGUUUGCUGGUUACUUGGACCCGGUCCUUGGCCGGUUUGAUUUUCCAACACUGAUUUGGCUGUUGUUAAAUUGUUUGUCUCCAAAAUGAUACUUCUUUUUUGUUGCCAUUGUAGGAGUUAGCUUAGUAAUAACUGUAAUGCAUGGUCCUGUUCUAGAAUAGGAAUUCAUGGUCCUGUUCUAGAGUAGGAAUUCAUGUGGCUUGAUCUUUUGAACUAGGCUAAAUAAAGCUUCUCUUCCUAUGACAGCAGGCCAAUCUCUCAACAUCAAGUAAGCUUACAAUUGCCCAAUUAUUUUUCUUGCAUUGGGUUUAUCUUUCUAAGUUCUAAUUUUUGUUAAAAUUCUUGCAGGCAUAGAGCCAAUAUAGCAAGUUGUGAUCUGCAAUAUGCUGCACCAGUUAGCAAAACUAACACAAUUUGAUUUGAUCAUGUACCCCUACCCACCAAAAACUCAUGUUUUCGAUUGGUUGGAAGGGCCUCACCAUAUGCAAGAGCUAUUACAAUUCCCAUUCCCAUUCCCUGUGUGAUGUGUAAGAAGGUGGAGCAGACCAUAAUUCACUUCUUCUCCAGUGCUCGGUUGCAGCCUGCAUCUGAGGUUUUGGGUGUGGGUGUCACCUGAGAAAUGUCCAAAUGCUCUUUUCAGGUUACUUUCCCCACCUUUCCCUGCUGCUAAUCCUUUAUGGUUUGCCGCCAUGCUUGCUUCUAUUUGGGCGAUAUGGCUGGAGUUAUUUCCUGAAUCUUUGAGAGCAAUGAAAUAUCAUUGAGUCCUUAAAAGGAUAGGAUAUGUCCCGUUCUGUGCAAGAAACUGAAAGUUCUUUGGAUGGUCUACACCUGAUUCCGCACAACAGGGGGCCAUCAUCCUAAUUACAAUUUGUGGAGGCAUCUUGACUUGGUGAUCGCCUCCAUCUUUUGGGGUCAUCAAGCUAAAUUUAAUGGCUAAUCUUUGAGCAACCCUGGCCUAGUAGGAGUGGGGAAUAUUUAGAUCUUUUGCACCAGAUCUCUUACUAUUCCUCUCCAAAUCCAUUGGUUCAAAAAACGCAAUAAUGGCAGAGGCUACAGCUUUGCUGUGAGUUGUCAGAUUGUUUGAUGGCAGUUGGGGCUCAAUUUUUGAAGGAGAUUAUAUGAAUGUCAUUGGGUAGACUUCCCCUUUCCCUGGCACGUUGACCAACCAUUCUACCAAAAGUUUCAGAUUUGCAGCACCCUACAGGUUUCUGUUAAGCAUGCUUGGCAAGAGGCAAAUAAGGUCGAGAACACAUUGGCAGGAGAAGGUGAAGCCGGCUGUGGUUUUGAUGUGAUCAGGCACCGGUCCACAGUUGUGUAGUGUAUUGUACAAAUUUUGUUCCAAAAAUUUGAGUUUUGGAAUGCUGAAAAUGUGCGAAGAACCUUUUAAGUGUUUGGGCCAUUCGGACUGCCCAAAAGGUAAAAUAAAAACUAGGUGUUAUGGGGUUCCACGAGUUAAAAUGUAAAGAAAUUCUGAAGUUUUGGACUUCAGCGCAAGGAGUAGAAAUUUGGGUUCUCUUAUAUUUGGAUUGGUACCCCACUAGUUUUGAGCUGACUCGAUAUUUUUAAUACUUAUUUGAAGAAAAGAAGGUGACAAUCACUCUUGGAUAUUGGGCAUGAAUCAAGAGGUUAAAGUUAUACUAUUGAUCAUGCUUAAAGAUCAACAAAACUUUCUUAAACUUUGUGGCACAUCUACCCGUUUGAUUUAA